RNAcentral lists this ribosomal RNA (465 nucleotides) under Vreelandella stevensii. Its description in RNAcentral is "partial 16S ribosomal RNA". It matches the Rfam family "Bacterial small subunit ribosomal RNA", at positions 338 to 795 of the family's 1533-position model. The record is from RNAcentral. Lineage: Bacteria; Pseudomonadati; Pseudomonadota; Gammaproteobacteria; Oceanospirillales; Halomonadaceae.
CCUACGGGGGGCAGCAGUGGGGAAUAUUGGACAAUGGGGGCAACCCUGAUCCAGCCAUGCCGCGUGUGUGAAGAAGGCCCUCGGGUUGUAAAGCACUUUCAGUGAGGAAGAACGCCUGGUGGUUAAUACCCAUCAGGAAAGACAUCACUCACAGAAGAAGCACCGGCUAACUCCGUGCCAGCAGCCGCGGUAAUACGGAGGGUGCGAGCGUUAAUCGGAAUUACUGGGCGUAAAGCGCGCGUAGGUGGCUUGAUAAGCCGGUUGUGAAAGCCCCGGGCUCAACCUGGGAACGGCAUCCGGAACUGGCAAGCUAGAGUGCAGGAGAGGAAGGUAGAAUUCCCGGUGUAGCGGUGAAAUGCGUAGAGAUCGGGAGGAAUACCAGUGGCGAAGGCGGCCUUCUGGACUGACACUGACACUGAGGUGCGAAAGCGUGGGUAGCAAACAGGAUUAGAUACCCCAGUAGUC